RNAcentral lists this non-coding RNA (78 nucleotides) under Shewanella hanedai. RNAcentral's name for it is "Cyclic di-GMP-I riboswitch". It matches the Rfam family "c-di-GMP-I riboswitch aptamer", at positions 7 to 84 of the family's 87-position model. From Rfam's summary of the family: GEMM was predicted in a large-scale screen for bacterial structured RNA regulatory elements. Genes associated with GEMM are involved in a diverse array of functions, including chemotaxis regulation, signal transduction, secretion and chitin. Lineage: Bacteria; Pseudomonadati; Pseudomonadota; Gammaproteobacteria; Alteromonadales; Shewanellaceae. The record is from RNAcentral.
GAAAAGGCAAAACAUGUGAAAGCAUGUGACGCAAAGCAUCCAGCCUAAGGGGGAUAACCCUAGGGUAGUGGGGUUACC